Molecule: ribosomal RNA, 492 nt
Filed under: uncultured bacterium
Lineage: Bacteria
Description: partial 16S ribosomal RNA
Rfam family: Bacterial small subunit ribosomal RNA
Source: RNAcentral
AGUGAACGCUGGCGGUAGGCCUAACACAUGCAAGUCGAACGGCAGCACAGUAAGAGCUUGCUCUUACGGGUGGCGAGUGGCGGACGGGUGAGGAAUACAUCGGAAUCUACUUUUUCGUGGGGGAUAACGCAGGGAAACUUACGCUAAUACCGCAUACGACCUACGGGUGAAAGCAGGGGAUCUUCGGACCUUGCGCGAUUGAAUGAGCCGAUGUCGGAUUAGCUAGUUGGCGGGGUACAGGCCCACCAAGGCGACGAUCCGUAGCUGGUCUGAGAGGAUGAUCAGCCACACUGGAACUGAGACACGGUCCAGACUCCUACGGGGGGCAGCAGUGGGGAAUAUUGGACAAUGGGCGCAAGCCUGAUCCAGCCAUACCGCGUGGGUGAAGAAGGCCUUCGGGUUGUAAAGCCCUUUUGUUGGGAAAGAAAAGCAGCAGGUUAAUACCCCGCUGUUCUGACGGUACCCAAAGAAUAAGCACCGGCUAACUUCGUG